UACGGGGGGGGUAAGCGUUGUUCGGAAUUACUGGGCGUAAAGGGCUCGUAGGCGGCCAACUAAGUCAGACGUGAAAUCCCUCAGCUUAACUGGGGAACUGCGUCCGAUACUGAAAGGCUUGAAUCCGGGAGAGGGAUGUGGAAUUCCAGGUGUAGCGGUGAAAUGCGUAGAUAUCUGGAGGAACACCGGUGGCGAAGGCGGCAUCCUGGACCGGCAUUGACGCUGAGGCGCGAAAGCUAGGGGAGCAAACGGG
RNAcentral lists this ribosomal RNA (253 nucleotides) under uncultured bacterium. Its description in RNAcentral is "partial 16S ribosomal RNA". It matches the Rfam family "Bacterial small subunit ribosomal RNA", at positions 524 to 776 of the family's 1533-position model. The record is from RNAcentral.